GCCGGGCAUGGUGGCGGAUGCCUGUAAUCCCAGCUACUUGGGAGGCUGAGGCAAGAGAAUCGCUUGAACCCAGGAGGCGGAGGUUGCAGUGAGCCGAGAUGGUGCACUGCACUCCACCCUGGGUGACAAGAGUGAGACUUCGUCUCCA
Molecule: non-coding RNA, 148 nt
Filed under: Homo sapiens (human)
Lineage: Eukaryota; Metazoa; Chordata; Mammalia; Primates; Hominidae
Source: Rfam by way of RNAcentral